UCCCUGAUAGCUCAGUUGGUAAAGAAUCUGCCUGCAAUGCAGGAGACCCUGGUUUGUAUUCCUGGGCUGGGAA
Molecule: transfer RNA, 73 nt
Filed under: Bos taurus (domestic cattle)
Lineage: Eukaryota; Metazoa; Chordata; Mammalia; Artiodactyla; Bovidae
Also listed under: 4 other names
Rfam family: tRNA
About the family: Transfer RNA (tRNA) molecules are approximately 80 nucleotides in length. Their secondary structure includes four short double-helical elements and three loops (D, anti-codon, and T loops). Further hydrogen bonds mediate the characteristic L-shaped molecular structure. tRNAs have two regions of fundamental functional importance: the anti-codon, which is responsible for specific mRNA codon recognition, and the 3' end, to which the tRNAs corresponding amino acid is attached (by aminoacyl-tRNA synthetases). tRNAs cope with the degeneracy of the genetic code in two manners: having more than one tRNA (with a specific anti-codon) for a particular amino acid; and 'wobble' base-pairing, i.e. permitting non-standard base-pairing at the 3rd anti-codon position.
Source: Rfam by way of RNAcentral